This 90-nucleotide transfer RNA is filed under the name Candidatus Kerfeldbacteria bacterium CG_4_9_14_3_um_filter_45_8. Its description in RNAcentral is "tRNA-Ser". It matches the Rfam family "tRNA". From Rfam's summary of the family: Transfer RNA (tRNA) molecules are approximately 80 nucleotides in length. Their secondary structure includes four short double-helical elements and three loops (D, anti-codon, and T loops). The record is from RNAcentral. RNAcentral also lists the same sequence under 1 other name. Lineage: Bacteria; Candidatus Kerfeldiibacteriota.
GGAGAGGUGGCUGAGCGGUUGAAAGCGACAGUCUUGAAAACUGUUGGGCCAGCAAUGGUCCCGGGAGUUCGAAUCUCCCCCUCUCCGCCA